UUCAGGUAAUUCUGUUG
Molecule: microRNA, 17 nt
Filed under: Corchorus olitorius
Lineage: Eukaryota; Viridiplantae; Streptophyta; Magnoliopsida; Malvales; Malvaceae
Description: ppy-miR-12
Source: RNAcentral